This 292-nucleotide ribosomal RNA is filed under the name uncultured bacterium. Its description in RNAcentral is "partial 16S ribosomal RNA". The record is from RNAcentral.
GGACUACCGGGGUAUCUAAUCCUGUUUGCUCCCCACGCUUUCGCGCCUCAGCGUCAGUUAAGGACCAGGCAGCCGCCUUCGCCACCGGUGUUCUUCCCAAUAUCUACGAAUUUCACCUCUACACUGGGAAUUCCACUACCCUCUUCCUCACUCUAGACUUAACGUAUCAAAUGCAGCCCCCAGGUUAAGCCCGGGAAUUUCACAUCUGACUGUCAAAUCCGCCUACGCGCCCUUUACGCCCAGUCAUUCCGAGCAACGCUAGCCCCCUUCGUAUUACCGCGGCUGCUGGCAC